RNAcentral lists this ribosomal RNA (397 nucleotides) under uncultured bacterium. RNAcentral describes it as "partial 16S ribosomal RNA". It matches the Rfam family "Bacterial small subunit ribosomal RNA", at positions 523 to 918 of the family's 1533-position model. The record is from RNAcentral.
AUACGUAGGUGACAAGCGUUAUCCGGAUUUACUGGGCGUAAAGGGCGUGUAGGCGGUCUUGCAAGUCAGAAGUGAAAUUCCUGAGCUCAACUCGGGCGCUGCUUCUGAAACUGCAGGACUUGAGUGCUGGAGGGGAUAGCGGAAUUCCUAGUGGAGCGGUAAAAUGCGCAGAUAUUAGGAAGAACACCGGUGGCGAAGGCGGCUAUCUGGACAGUAACUGACGCUGAGGCGCGAAAGCGUGGGGAGCAAACAGGAUUAGAUACCCUGGUAGUCCACGCCGUAAUCGAUGAAUACUAGGAGUAGGGGGUAUCGACUCCCUCUGUGCCGCAGUUAACACAAUAAGUAUUCCGCCUGGGGAGUACGGCCGCAAGGUUGAAACUUAAAGGAAUUGACGGGG